This 545-nucleotide long non-coding RNA is filed under the name Nicotiana benthamiana. RNAcentral describes it as "long non-coding RNA (NBEN_LNC006589)". The record is from RNAcentral. Lineage: Eukaryota; Viridiplantae; Streptophyta; Magnoliopsida; Solanales; Solanaceae.
GAUUUGCGCAGCUUUGAGCAACAGAUUGUGCACUGUUAGUCCUCGUUAUUGAAUCUGUCUUGGUUUACUUGAAAUCUCUCAUGUGUGACCGCGUACGAGGGUUAUUCUAUUUUGUCAAUUCAUGGAUAGGUCUCUGUGAACUCCAUUCUUUUGUAGCAUGUUCAAUUUCCUUCUUAGAAGUGUAGUUGAUGAACUGAUUCGCUCGUUGAAAUAGAUUCAUUACAGUAUAUUAGCUUUGUUUCCCUGAAACUGUAGUGAUAGUUGAUUACUGUUUAGAAAGGUAAGUAGAUAAUGAAUAGGUCUUUAGUUAGUCUAGGUGUGCCAUCCGAAACAAUAAUAACUUAUGGCCCUCCAAAUGUAGUUCUCUUUUACAUUAGAGUUAGAGGUGUGACGUGCCGAACAAAAAUGACAAUUGCAUGGCCCUCACUUUAUUUAAUUUUGAAUUGACACUUAAAAUUCGGGAGGGUCGUUUAGCGAAUUUCACGGCCUUCCUCAAAUAAUACUAUGCUAUAAUAUUUAGGCACGGUUAAUUAAAUUACCUUCCU